AGGUAAGCUGAAUGUUCACUUGGUUGCUCAUUCGCAUGACGACGUUGGCUGGUUGAAGACGAUCGAUCAGUACUAUGUUGGUUCAAACAACAGUAUUCAGGGAGCGUGUGUGGAGAAUGUGCUUGAUUCAGUUGUUGAUUCUUUGCUUCGUGAUUCAAACAGGAAGUUUGUAUUUGCUGAAAUGGCAUUUUUCCAGCGAUGGUGGUCACAACAAAAUCCCAAACUCCAACAAAGAGUGAGAAAACUUGUUGAAGAUGGCCAAUUGGAAUUCAUAAAUGGAGGUUGGUG
Molecule: unclassified non-coding RNA, 288 nt
Filed under: Hevea brasiliensis (rubber tree)
Lineage: Eukaryota; Viridiplantae; Streptophyta; Magnoliopsida; Malpighiales; Euphorbiaceae
Source: RNAcentral